GAUGAAGAACGUAGCGAAAUGCGAUAAGUAAUGUGAAUUGCAGAAUUCAGUGAAUCAUCGAAUCUUUGAACGCACAUUGCGCCCAUUAGUAUUCUAGUGGGCAUGCCUGUUCGAGCGUCAUUACAACCCUUAAGCCUAGCUGCUUAGCGUUGGGAACUUAGCCUCCAAAGCUAAUUCCUUAAAGACAUUGGCAGAGUUGCGGCAUACUCUAAGCGUAGUAAUUUAUUCUCGCUUCUGAAGGUGUCGUGACGAUCGCCACAAACCUCUAUAUUUCCAGUGGUUGACCUCGGAUCAGGUAGGAAUACCCGCUGAACUUAAGCAUAUCAAUAAGCGGAGGA
Molecule: unclassified non-coding RNA, 338 nt
Filed under: soil metagenome
Description: partial contains 5.8S ribosomal RNA, internal transcribed spacer 2, and large subunit ribosomal RNA
Rfam family: 5.8S ribosomal RNA (bases 1-120)
Source: RNAcentral